AUUAUAUACACACACACUAUACAAACACACUGUGUAUAUAAUGCAGUUUGUGUAGUGUGUGUAUAUAAUGCAGUGUAUUUGUGUAGUGUGUUUAUAUAAUUCAGUGUGUGUUUGUGUAGUGUGUUUGUGCAGUGUGUGUUUGUGUAGUGUGUAUAUAAUGCAGUGUGUGUGUUUGUGUAGUGUUUAUAUAAUGCAGUGUUUGUGUGUGUAGUGUGUGUAUAUAAUGCAGUGUGUUUGCAUAGUGUGUGUAUAUAAUGCAGUGUAUUUGCGUAGUGUGUUUAUAUAAUGCACACUACACAAACACACUGCAUCAUAUACACACUAUACAAACACACACACACUGCAUUAUAUAAACACACUACAUUCACUAUACACACACUACACAAAUACACACACACUCUGCAUUCAUUAUAUACACACACACUUUGCAUUUAGUAUAUACAGCAUUCACUUUACGCACACUACCCACACACUACACAAACACUCUGCUUUCAUUAUAUACACACUACACUUUGCAUUUAGUAUAUACAGCAUUCACUUUACGCACACUACCCACACACUACACAAACACUCUGCUUUCAUUAUAUACACACUACACUAAUACAUACUGCAUCCACUACACACACUAAACAAAUACACACUGCAUCCACUACACAAACACACAUUGCAUCCUCCACACACACUACACAAACACACACACUGCAUCCACAACCCACACACUACACAAACACACACUGCAUCCACUACACAAAGACACACACUGCAUCCACUACACACACUACACAAACACACACAGUUCCCCUGUCACACUGCAUCCACUACAUGUGGCAUGUAUAUUUUGUGCAUUUACCUUUAGAAAUAGUUUUUAUUUUCCAAAAUGGUAAAUGUACAGAAUAUCAGCAAAUUAUAUCGGCUAUCGGCCUGAAAGUUCACAGAAUAUCGGUAUCGGCUCUAAAAAAAUCAAUAUCGGUCGAUCCCUAGCCAUAAUGUAUAUAAAUGUUUGCUUUCAUAUAUUUCAGCUUUAUUUUCUUUGAAAUACAAAAAUGUAUGCUCUAAGACUGUCUAAUCUUCUAUAAGAUGCUGCUAAAACACAAUUACAGGGUUAGUCACCAAAGUGGGAAUUGUUGGCAAUUCAAAGUGAAUUUCAAAAUUAAAAAGAACAUAGAAACAUAGAAUGUGACAGCAGAUAAGAACCAUUCGGCCCAUCUAGUCUGCCCAAUAAAUUCCCUCUUUGGAAUGAAGUUGUUAUGGUGCAAAGAGGUUCCUAGGACCGGUUUACCUUCAGGGGUUAGUCCAUUUAUGAAUGGUUUAACCCAAAAGUAUGCCCUAUUCUUCCACUUUUUCUGAGAUUCUUUAAUCUGGAAGUCUUCGACUGCUGUGGACAUGCAGGGCUGAAUGGCUGAGGGUCAGCUGAUGCUCUACACCAACCAGUGAAUCCCUAUUCAUAAAAGCGGCUUGAGAAAAAUAUGUAUGUUACCCAAGUGGUUUUGUCCAAGGCUUUGUGUUUGAAGAAUCAGAAGGAGAGGGGCUGAGCAAAACGACACUGGACAAAUGUUUGUGAAUAGAAACUAAAUGGUUCAUAAAAGUAAACUGACACCAGUGACCUUCAUUCUGAUGAAGCUGUUAUGGGGCCUGGAUGUUCCCUUAGAGGCAAAAAUAGUCAAAAUGGAAACGUUUUCCAAGUCCACUUUACUUACAAUUCAGCUACUUUUGUCAGUUGAAAUUCACUUUGAAUUCCUAACAAAUCCCAAGUUAGUGAAAACCCCUUAAUUAGUCUCAUUGGUGAGAGGAGGCUAAUCAGAAUUGGAGAAAAACCUCAGGUUUUAUUGUUUUUGUUUACACAAUAUGUAGCACUGAUAUAUUACUACCUACUGGAAUGUGAAAAUAAGCCAAAUGUGAAUAAAUAUAUUGCUG
This 1914-nucleotide long non-coding RNA is filed under the name Pelobates cultripes (western spadefoot toad). The record is from RNAcentral. Lineage: Eukaryota; Metazoa; Chordata; Amphibia; Anura; Pelobatidae.